RNAcentral lists this ribosomal RNA (605 nucleotides) under Geastrum sp. TNS KH-JPN09-268. Its description in RNAcentral is "eukaryotic LSU rRNA". The stretch from base 207 to 361 matches the Rfam family "5.8S ribosomal RNA". The record is from RNAcentral. Lineage: Eukaryota; Fungi; Basidiomycota; Agaricomycetes; Geastrales; Geastraceae.
UUUCUGUAGGUGAACCUGCGGAAGGAUCAUUACUGAAGGACAAAGGAUUUGAGACUGCGUUCCAUAGUGGCGUGUGCUCGAUCCUUACUCUUUUAUCCACACACACCUUUGUGCACCAUUGGAGGAUGAGUUUUCAUCCUCUUUUUUUACACACAAACACAGUUUUUAUGCAUGUAUGAUAGUGAUACUCUAUGGAGUAAAUCUAUAACUUUCAACAACGGAUCUCUUGGCUUUCGCAUCGAUGAAAAACGCAGCGAAUGUGCGAAACGUAAUGUGAAUUGCAGAAUUCAGUGAAUCAUCGAAUCUUUGAACGCAUCUUGCGCUCCUUGGUAUUCCGAGGAGCAUGCCUGUUUGAGUGUCGUGAAAUACUCAAUUUCAAACUUUUGUUUUUGAAGGUUUGAAAUUGGAUUUGGGUGUUGUUGUGGAAAUGACUCACCCUAAAUGCAUUAGUGAUCUGCCAUUGAUCAUGGGCAAUGUGAUAAGAAAAAAGCAUUGUUAAAGAUCAGGGGUAAUGAUUGCUUCUAACUGUCGAAAGACAAUGCAUAUAUGUAUGUUAUAUGCGGUUUGACCUCAAAUCAGGUAGGACUACCCGCUGAACUUAAGCA